AAUAUGGCCUUACAUUGGCUUUUAGUCUUAGCUCAUUAUCAGUAGCCCUGUGGACUCUCUGACAAUAUAAGAGCAAGUGCCUGUGAACUGCAGCCAUAAGAAAGAAUGUUGGUGAACUGUAUACUCACAGUCACAAAUUGAUUCUUUUUUUAAGACCCUAAAAAAAGGCUACAUGUAAGAAUAAACUAAAAUAUUCUGUAUCGAUUCAAUCAUUCAUUCAACAACUACUUACUACAUAUAGAUUAUGCACCAGGUACUGUGAUAGGUAUUGUAUAGCCCAGUAAGGAUAAAUUUGAUUUUAUUCAUUGUGCAGCAUUUAGAAUGAGUUGAAGUAUCUUCUAAGCCUGUCUCAGUCAGAUGAUCUAAAACAUAUAAAGGACUAUUAUUGGAAUCUGAUGGCUGGAGUGGCAGUUUAUCAAAGUCUGUGAAGGACUAAAUCAAACUAGAAGUUUACCAAGACUGCAAGUGAAAAUCAACUGCUGCUCUUUGAAGGAAAAGGAAAAAUGGUUUCAGAAAAUGAUACCCCAAAAUGAAGAUCUCAGAAGCAGCUCUCUCUGACCUUAGCUUACCCUCUUGUCUCUGACCCUUCCAUCUUCCAAGAGGCUAGCCACAGAAACUAGAAUCCCAUGGAAACCAGAACCCUUUUCCCCAAAGCCAGCAAUAAAAUCUAAAAAUAUUACUCUAACCCUCCCCACCACCUUUCUGUGUAAAAACUGGCCAUAAAGAAACUACCUGACCUACGUUAUUGACUGUAGGCCAUGAGACCUCUAUUCCAGAGAGGGUCCUGACCCAGACCCAGAAGGAGGGAAUGCAUGCUUAGAGAGACCAAGAAGAAUUUAACUGGACAGGCCUUGCUGCGUUUCCCCACUCAGUCUAUUAGCGUCAAAUCAUGCCCAUUUUGUCCAGUCAUAUUUCUACAUGGCCGCCCAUACUUUCUUGAAGCUAAGCAUACAGACUGUUUCUCCUGUAUCUCUGGAUCUUCAUCUGAAGGAUUCCAUACCAUGUAAAACUAUGAUCAAAUAAAUUU
RNAcentral lists this long non-coding RNA (1027 nucleotides) under Homo sapiens (human). RNAcentral describes it as "HSALNT0147298". The record is from RNAcentral. Lineage: Eukaryota; Metazoa; Chordata; Mammalia; Primates; Hominidae.